RNAcentral lists this non-coding RNA (89 nucleotides) under Roseobacter denitrificans. RNAcentral describes it as "Glycine sequence". It matches the Rfam family "Glycine riboswitch aptamer". From Rfam's summary of the family: This family represents the bacterial glycine riboswitch. Glycine riboswitches usually consist of two metabolite-binding aptamers domains with similar structures in tandem. RNAcentral also lists the same sequence under 1 other name. Lineage: Bacteria; Pseudomonadati; Pseudomonadota; Alphaproteobacteria; Rhodobacterales; Roseobacteraceae. The record is from RNAcentral.
UCAUCCACCACGGGAGAACCGGCGAAAGUGCCGGUGCCGAAGGAGCAACCGCCCCGGAAACUCUCAGGCCAAAGGACCGUCGUGGUGUC